GCUGAACCUGGUGGUGCAUGUCUGUAAUCCCAGUGACUUGGGAGGCUGAGGCAGGAGGAUAGUGAGUUUGAGCCCAGCCUCAGCAAUUUACUGAGACUCUGCCUCAA
RNAcentral lists this small RNA (107 nucleotides) under Marmota monax (woodchuck). The record is from RNAcentral. Lineage: Eukaryota; Metazoa; Chordata; Mammalia; Rodentia; Sciuridae.